Molecule: non-coding RNA, 1867 nt
Organism: Lolium perenne
Lineage: Eukaryota; Viridiplantae; Streptophyta; Magnoliopsida; Poales; Poaceae
Source: RefSeq, a predicted model, not a curated record
CCCUUCCCUUUCGGCAAAAACCCCAACCCGGAGCAGGCUCCACCCAACCACGGCCCGCUGCCUCGCCCGACGACCCCAGCCAAAACCCUAGCCGGAGCAGCGGCAUCAUGCUCCUGGGCACGGGCAAGCGCGGCCACGCCGGCAACGGCGACGGAGGAGGCGGCGGCGGCGGCCCGGCUCUGCUCGGCAACCAGGGCCUCGGGAGCUACGCGCAGCCCGGCCAUUCCGCCGGCGGCGGCGACGAUGGCCUUGCCGCGGCCCUCCUCGACGCGCUCGGCCUGGGGAGCUUCGCGCGGCUCGCCCUCCCCUUCCCGCCCGACGGGCUCGGCCUCGCCGCCGCCGCGGACCCCUGCUCGGACCGCAUUCUCGUUUCCCUCGGAGGCGCCAGCGCCAUCGCCUCGCCCGCCGACCUCGCGGCCGCGCUCCUGCUGCCGCUAGGCGCCACGCUCUCCCUCGCCCCGGAGUACGCGGCCCUGUUCUCCUCCGUGGAGGCAAUCGCCGCCGUGAGGGUGUUCGUCCACGAUCGCCUGCUGCAGCUGGGGGGAACAGGGGGUGGCCAACCGCUGCCGGCGGAGACCGUCGAGGCCCUGCAGCUGGUGGAGGGUGGGAGGGCGUACGCGGUGGACUGGGGCCGGUUUGUCUGGGCGUUUCUGAGGUGGGAUGUGUUGGUCGGCAAUGGACGGCGUUGCGGUCAGUACCUUCUCCGUUUGAUGAGAUGCCAAAGGCCGGACCUUUUCUCCGAGUUUGAUGGGAGGUUCCUUGGGGAGAGGAAGAAAGGCCUAAUCCUGCAGCAGCAGCACCAGGAGACAUUGUUCCAUGGGAACAGCGGCCAUGGUCAACUCAUGGCAGCAGAAGAGACAUUGCUAUUUGGACAGAGCAAAAACAUUGGAAAGAUGCCUGCAUCUGGAUACGUCAACGAUCAACAGCAUAGAAUUGAACCUGAAGAUCAAGAACCUGACAACCAUGACAGUGUUGCUCCUAGCCUUCCUUCUUUCUACGCCAGUCGACAGCAAGUUCUAGCUCAUUUCUCUAGCAUGGAGAAUGCAUUUUCGGAGAGGGAGAGAACUUUGGCACACAAUCGAGCUGAAAUACAGCACAUGAAGGAGAAGGAGAGGGAGAAAGAUAAUCAAAUAGCGUAUAUCGUUAAGGAGAUAGAGGGGGAACUUAAAGCAAGGUUCACCAAAAUUAAGCAGCUUGAGCAUGACAAAAUGGCAAUGGCCAAAACUCUUCAUUGGUGCAAAACUAUGCUUCAACAGUCCUCUGCUGCAUUUUCGGAGUAUAGGAAGAUGGUGUGCGAAGAAAGUGGUGGAUCAUCUUUGGAUGCUGUGGCUGAUGAGAAGAAUCGGGUACGUUUGAUGCAGCAGCAGUGGCAUGCCCAUGAAAUUAUAAAUGACAUCCAAAAACGCUUAAUUUUGAAGUUCUCGGCAUCUGCCGAGCAGAUUACUGUGCUGUUAAGAAAGCUUGCAGACCUCAACCAUGAAGUGCAAAGGUUGAAGGGUUCCAGAUCAAUUCCAGAUCUCAAUGUGGGGCCUCAUCUUUGACUUCUUCAUUUAGGAAUCUACAAUGCUGAUGAUGCAGGUGACCGUCUUUCGAUUCAAGUCUUUGGCACGCAGAAGGAUGUACAUUUUGGUAUUGCUGAAAUAGCCGAGAUGCUUCUCGUAUGGAUGUCUAUUUGUGACUAGUUGUUCUGUUAUGCUUUUGGUUUCAUUUAUGUCUAUAGCUUAUGAUGAACAGUUAAGAGGUGAUAUGUCGCCUGCAUUAUCUCCUUAUUGGAUACUUGGUUGGAGCCUGAAGGAUAUGGUGUAUGCUAUCUUUCCCUUCCGUAUUUACUUUUAGUGUCAAACUAAUCUCUGUAUUGAUAUGGUGA